Molecule: transfer RNA, 72 nt
Filed under: Angiostrongylus costaricensis
Lineage: Eukaryota; Metazoa; Nematoda; Chromadorea; Rhabditida; Metastrongylidae
Rfam family: tRNA
About the family: Transfer RNA (tRNA) molecules are approximately 80 nucleotides in length.
Source: Rfam by way of RNAcentral
GCCUCAUCGGCUCAGAGGCACAGCGUCUGUCUAGUAAACAGAAGGUAAUUGGAUCGUUUCCAACAUUGAGCA